This 20-nucleotide unclassified non-coding RNA is filed under the name Mus musculus (house mouse). Its description in RNAcentral is "oocyte_clustered_small_RNA5967". Lineage: Eukaryota; Metazoa; Chordata; Mammalia; Rodentia; Muridae. The record is from RNAcentral.
UCUCUUCUUGAUCACUGCUA